UACGUAGGGGCGAGCGUUAUCCGGAAUCAUUGGGCGUAAAGGGUGCGUAGGCGGUUAUGCAAGUUAGGGGUGAAAGGCUACGGCUCAACCGUAGUAAGCCUUUAAAACUGCAUGACUUGAGUGCAGGAGAGGAGAGUGGAAUUCCUAGUGUAGCGGUGAAAUGCGUAGAUAUUAGGAGGAACACCAGUGGCGAAGGCGACUCUCUGGACUGUAACUGACGCUGAGGCACGAAAGCGUGGGGAGCGAACAGG
This 251-nucleotide ribosomal RNA is filed under the name uncultured bacterium. RNAcentral describes it as "partial 16S ribosomal RNA". It matches the Rfam family "Bacterial small subunit ribosomal RNA", at positions 524 to 776 of the family's 1533-position model. The record is from RNAcentral.